RNAcentral lists this ribosomal RNA (951 nucleotides) under Klebsiella pneumoniae. RNAcentral's name for it is "partial 23S ribosomal RNA". It matches the Rfam family "Bacterial large subunit ribosomal RNA", at positions 832 to 2000 of the family's 2925-position model. The record is from RNAcentral. Lineage: Bacteria; Pseudomonadati; Pseudomonadota; Gammaproteobacteria; Enterobacterales; Enterobacteriaceae.
AUCAAACAAAGAGAUAGCUGGUUUUCCGCGAAAAUUAUUUAAGUAAUGCGUUUAAAUAAAAAAAAAAAGACAAUUAGUUUUAAACUGUCGAUUGGUAGGCACUUAAAAAAUUUAAUAAUAUUUUUUUUUUAAAUAAACAGUUAGUCUAUCAGCGCAAAGGUUGAUAGACGAGAGGGACACAGCCCAGAUUAUUUAUUAAGGUUCAAAAGUAUUUAUUAAUACAAAAGAUAAAAAUUUAUAAAAUUAAAAAGGUCGGCGUGGAGGCUGUCAUCCUUUCAAAAAAGCGUCACAGCUUAUUUAAUAAAAAUAAAUUUUUAUUAACAAUUUUGAUAUAAAUAAAUCACCGAAAUAAUAAAUUAAUGGUAGCGGAAUGUUUUGUAUAUCAUAAAAGUAAUAUUGAAAAAUAUUAUGGAGAUAUCAAAAGUAAGUAUGUCGGUAUUAGUAAUCAUAUAAUGUUGAAUCAUUGUUGUUGAAUGUCUAAGAGUUUUAAUGAAAGAAUGAAUCUCAUUAAGUUAUACGAUCCCUAAGAAGAAAAUUAAAAUUUUAUUUGAUGGAGGUUCUGAUUUGACAUUUUUGAAAAAAAUCAAGAAAUAAAUCAGAAUUUUAUCGUAUUAAAUCUGACACUAGUAGACAGGUUGAAUAAACUAAAACAACGAGAGAAUAAUAUUGAAGGAACUCGGCAAAUUUAUUCUGUAACUUCGGGAAAAAGAAUACUUUUUUAUAAUAAAAUAUAAGAAAGUGACAUUAAAGAGAGGGCGACGACUGUUUAAUAAAAACACAGGACUUUGCUAAUUCGAAAGAAGACGUAUAAGGUCUGACUCCUGCCCGGUGCUGCAAAAUGAAAAAAUUAAUCUUUUUUAAUUAUAAAUUCCAGUAAACGGCGGCUGUAACUCUGACGGUCCUAAGGUAGCGAAGUUCCUUGGCGGGUAAGUUCCGUCCUGCAUGAAUGGA